Molecule: long non-coding RNA, 499 nt
Organism: Herpailurus yagouaroundi (jaguarundi)
Lineage: Eukaryota; Metazoa; Chordata; Mammalia; Carnivora; Felidae
Exons: 4
Source: RefSeq, a predicted model, not a curated record
GGGCAUGGCUUAGCUUGGUCUUCCUCAGAGUCUCACAUGGGGCAAUCAAGACAAAGUCCAUGGACAUGGUCACACCUGAUGCUCACCUGGGACAGGAUCUACUUCCAAGCUCAUAUGAUUGUAGAAGCAAGUCACAAAUCCUGCCCACACUCAAGGAGAGAGAAUUACAUAAGGUCAUGAACACCCAGAAGCAAGGAUCAUGGGGGUCACCUUAGAAUCUUCCCCGACAAGAAGCAGCAUAAAAUCAAAUUUACCCAGAAUGUUUCCUGCAGGAAAAGAAACUGAGAUUCAGAUCAUAUGAUCAGUACCACCAAGCUCAUGGACUUACCAUGAACCAGCUGGAUGAUUCUUUCAAUGUCGAACUGAUCAGAACAUGGUCACAUCUAGAGAUGGAGCCUUCAGAAUCCCAUAGGAGUUCUCUGCCAUUCUUCUUCGGAUCUCUAUUUUUAGCCCGGUAAAAUUCUGCACAAUGAUUAAAAAAAAUAAUUAUUUCAAAUAA